RNAcentral lists this ribosomal RNA (395 nucleotides) under uncultured bacterium. RNAcentral's name for it is "bacterial SSU rRNA". It matches the Rfam family "Bacterial small subunit ribosomal RNA", at positions 505 to 898 of the family's 1533-position model. The record is from RNAcentral.
GUGUCAGCAGCCGCGGUAAUACGUAGGGACCAAGCGUUGUCCGGAAUUAUUGGGCGUAAAGCGCGUGUAGGCGGCUUGCCAAGUCCGGUGUGAAAUGUCGGGGCUCAACCCCGGAACUGCAUUGGAAACUGGCUUGCUUGAGUCCGGAAGAGGAGACUGGAAUUCCUGGUGUAGCGGUGAAAUGCGCAGAUAUCAGGAAGAACACCCGUGGCGAAGGCGGGUCUCUGGGACGGUACUGACGCUGAGACGCGAAAGCGUGGGGAGCAAACAGGAUUAGAUACCCUGGUAGUCCACGCCGUAAACGAUGGGCACUAGGUGUGGGAGGUGUCGACUCCUUCCGUGCCGAAGCUAACGCAUUAAGUGCCCCGCCUGGGGAGUACGGCCGCAAGGCUAAA